CCUUACUACCUUCUUCUACUUCCUGUCCUCUUUGCCUGGAAUGCUCCCCUUCUCACCCUUCUCCUCCAGGCCAACUGCCAGACCCUCCUGAAAUAUUCUGUAGUGUGUGAGGUCCCUCCUCUUCACCACCAUAGAGCCCCCGUUCAAGUUCAAGUUCAGCACCUGCCACAUCACGUUGUCACCGUGAGCCUGACUCUCUCCCAUCAGACCACGAGCCACUGGAGAGCAGACACCUUCAUGCCCUCAAAGUCCAGCAGAGUCUGCUAUAGUCAGUUCUCAAGGUGACCUGAGAUGGGAAGAGCUGGAGAGAAGGGGUAUGGCACAUAGUUCAGGAGUCGCCCCCAACACACAACCGGAGCCUUCAUUCCCCUCCAAUGAACCUCUAACACUCAAUAUUGCUCUCCUCAAGAAAGACCUGCAUCUGUAGAAUGGGGAGGAGAUUCACUGCCUGAAAGAAAUCUGGUUGAAUAGCAGAUCUGUAUUGUGAAUCCUCCUACAGUGCAAGAGACACAGAUGCCAUUUCGAUCCCCGGCUCAGGAAGAUCCCUUGGAGGAGGGCAUGGCAACCCACUCCAGUCUUCUUGCCCGGAGAAUACCAUGGACAGAGGAA
Molecule: long non-coding RNA, 609 nt
Organism: Cervus elaphus (red deer)
Lineage: Eukaryota; Metazoa; Chordata; Mammalia; Artiodactyla; Cervidae
Exons: 3
Source: RefSeq, a predicted model, not a curated record